RNAcentral lists this ribosomal RNA (449 nucleotides) under uncultured bacterium. RNAcentral describes it as "partial 16S ribosomal RNA". It matches the Rfam family "Bacterial small subunit ribosomal RNA", at positions 29 to 523 of the family's 1533-position model. The record is from RNAcentral.
AACGAACGCUGGCGGCAUGCCUAACACAUGCCAGUCGAACGAACCCUUCGGGGUUAGUGGCGCACGGGUGCGUAACACGUGGGAAUCUGCCCUUUGCUUCGGAAUAACAGUUAGAAAUGACUGCUAAUACCGGAUAAUGUCGCAAGACCAAAGAUUUAUCGGCAAAGGAUGAGCCCGCGUAGGAUUAGCUUGUUGGUGGGGUAAUGGCCCACCAAGGCGACGAUCCUUAGCUGGUCUGAGAGGAUGAUCAGCCACACUGGGACUGAGACACGGCCCAGACUCCUACGGGAGGCAGCAGUGGGGAAUAUUGGACAAUGGGCGAAAGCCUGAUCCAGCAAUGCCGCGUGAGUGGUGAAGGCCUUAGGGUUGUAAAGCUCUUUUACCAGGGAUGAUAAUGACAGUACCUGGAGAAUAAGCUCCGGCUAACUCCGUGCCAGCAGCCGCGGUAA